This is a non-coding RNA of Paramuricea clavata, 1463 nucleotides long. NCBI's taxonomy places the organism in Eukaryota, Metazoa, Cnidaria, Anthozoa, Malacalcyonacea, Plexauridae. The record is from the annotation of a GenBank genome assembly.
CCUGUAAAUUUCGACAUACUAAAACGCUGUUUUCUGACUAUCAGAAUUCUGUUAAAUCUUCCCCCAAAGUCCAGGAAAUGGCAUUUUAGGGACUCUAAAUUUAAAAAUUUCCUCGGGCCUUCGGCCCUCGCUUUCAGCCCCCCCAAUCGAAAGGAGCUUCCUACGGCCCUGAUCUAUCAGCAUUGUCAAAUAUGGCAACGAAAUUCCUUUUUUAUGGCAUGAUACUUUUUCUAGUUGAGUCAUAGUAGUAAAUUAUGCACUAUGGCCCUCUAUUUCAGAGGAGUGCCAAAGACCCAAUAAAAGCUAUUCAGUUUCUUGUAGAGGCAAACUGGGAGCCCAUGUGCAUCUGCGGCAAAAUAAUGAUAAGAAAUUUCGUGCCCUGCAUGUUGCAGCAGCAAACCUCGGUCACAGAGGUGAAAAGAGCAUGCAAAUCACCAGCCAACAAACACCAACACUUUUAAAGAAGAUGUCCACUCCGUUCUGCGCAUCAGUUCUGCUUGUAACAAAGGGGGACCCCCAGAUAUAAACAUUGCCCAAAUUUUGCAUCUCUCGAACUUUUUUGAAUUGAAACGUAUAGUUUAUAUUCAUUUACAAGUAUAGCGAACCAGAAAAGUGUUAGUUUAUAAUAUAAAUAUAGUAUUUUAAAUAGUAUACGUUUUCAUAGUUUACAUGUUCUCACAUCAUGAUCUGUGGUUAUGUCAAGGACUUAAGAUAUAACUGUGAGACGGUGACAUCCCAGAUGCAUCCAAGUCUCGAGGUUUGAGUAUAUAAGUAUAUAUUCUCUAAAUUCUCUUAUGUAUCAAUAUUGACCCAUUGCAGCAGUUCGUGACUUCGUGUGUAAUAUUGGGAUAUGAGCAUGGUAUCCUUUAGCAUCCAUCUCCGUCGCCACUUGGAUUAGACACAAGACUCUCGACUUUGAAUUACUAGAACUGAAAAUAACUGCUAAAAGACAAAACCCUGCCGGAAAAGGACAAAAGUUGCCUGAAGCUAGACUGCGAGCGGUCUCCUUUCCGCGUGUUUAGAUUUCCAGGCAUGCGAAAGGAAAGGAGGGACUGCAGACCGACACAUCAAGAAAUGAAAUACGCGUUCCCCAUGACACAACGCAAAAUUCCCAAUUGGCGAAAUCGAUAUGCUUGUCAAUCAAAUCUGAUAUGUAGUAAUUAUGCUAUAAAUAAUUUCCAUAGUGAAUGUCGAUGUUGUAACUGGACUAUAACGGUUCCUAUAGGAUAAAUUUAGUUGUGACAGAUUUAAUGUUUACGCAAAGGCGAAGCCAACUUGACAAGAGCGAAAAGUGGGCAUAUUUCGUUUCUUGAUGUGUUGUCGGUGGUGCCUCCUUUCUCCCAUGGGACUGCUCGCGGUCGUUUACCUGAAGCAGUCAAAAGUUGCUGAAAAGUUGCCGAGCAUCUAACUGUCAUCAUCUUGUGUCUAAGUCUAGUCCCCACAAUCGCCCCCUCCCCCACAAU